Molecule: ribosomal RNA, 527 nt
Filed under: Staphylococcus aureus
Lineage: Bacteria; Bacillati; Bacillota; Bacilli; Caryophanales; Staphylococcaceae
Description: partial 23S ribosomal RNA
Rfam family: Bacterial large subunit ribosomal RNA
Source: RNAcentral
GACAUUAGACGAAUCAUCUGGAAAGAUGAAUCAAAGAAGGUAAUAAUCCUGUAGUCGAAAAUGUUGUCUCUCUUGAGUGGAUCCUGAGUACGACGGAGCACGUGAAAUUCCGUCGGAAUCUGGGAGGACCAUCUCCUAAGGCUAAAUACUCUCUAGUGACCGAUAGUGAACCAGUACCGUGAGGGAAAGGUGAAAAGCACCCCGGAAGGGGAGUGAAAUAGAACCUGAAACCGUGUGCUUACAAGUAGUCAGAGCCCGUUAAUGGGUGAUGGCGUGCCUUUUGUAGAAUGAACCGGCGAGUUACGAUUUGAUGCAAGGUUAAGCAGUAAAUGUGGAGCCGUAGCGAAAGCGAGUCUGAAUAGGGCGUUUAGUAUUUGGUCGUAGACCCGAAACCAGGUGAUCUACCCUUGGUCAGGUUGAAGUUCAGGUAACACUGAAUGGAGGACCGAACCGACUUACGUUGAAAAGUGAGCGGAUGAACUGAGGGUAGCGGAGAAAUUCCAAUCGAACCUGGAGAUAGCUGGUUC